UCGCAGCAACGCGCGUUGCUAAGAGAGCUCUGCUCUCACCGCUUUCUCUCUCUCUUGCUGAAUGUUUACUCUCACGUCAUUGUGGCGAUUUUCGAUUUUAUAUAUAGUGAGAAGAUGGGGACUGUUUUAACAUUUACAAGUGAAAUAAAACGAAAAAUCAGUGUCUCAACGAUCAGGUCGAAUCGGACCGUGUCGAAAGCGAUCCAAAUUGUUGCUACUCUCCCCCCGAGGGUAAGAUAUCAUUAUUGCGCCGUGUGCCAAUUUUAUGGCCCAUAUUCACUUUUACCAGUCGAAAAAAUGGAACUUCAUUAACCGUGUAUCUCGAAUCUCCGUCAGCGUUCUUGGGCAGCAACAAAACAUGCUAGAAGAACGAUUGGUGUGAACUACAAAAAUUGAAUUCACAACUGAAACGAUCGAAUGGACCUUCUCAGUUACGCAAAUGGUGGUGAUAUACGAAACGGCCAUAAAGGGUAGAAAAUGUUAUGAAUAGUUGAUCACCUACGACCACCCGUUGCUCGUUGCCGUCCGCACGCAGGCUUGAAAGCAAGGAUAUGGAUCUUACUUCGUUUCUGUUUGUGUUGCCUCGCACACAUCGGUGAGCGAUGGAAAAAUGCUGUUGUGACAUAGCAGUAUGUGUAAACCGCAGCUCUUAUAAAUGGAAGUUUUGCUCUAUCCAGUCGGCUUCUCGGCAUCUUA
Long non-coding RNA from Anopheles arabiensis, 696 nucleotides. RefSeq lists it as uncharacterized. The transcript has 2 exons. Lineage: Eukaryota; Metazoa; Arthropoda; Insecta; Diptera; Culicidae. The record is from RefSeq and is a predicted model, not a curated record.